GAUGAACGCUGGCGGCGUGCCUAAUACAUGCAAGUCGAGCGAACAGACGAGGAGCUUGCUCCUCUGACGUUAGCGGCGGACGGGUGAGUAACACGUGGAUAACCUACCUAUAAGACUGGGAUAACUUCGAGAAACCGGAUCUAAUACCGGAUAAUAUAUUGAACCGCAUGGUUCAAUAGUGAAAGACGGUUUUGCUGUCACUUAUAGAUGGAUCCGCGCCGCAUUAGCUAGUUGGUAAGGUAACGGCUUACCAAGGCAACGAUGCGUAGCCGACCUGAGAGGGUGAUAGCCCACACUGGAACUGGGACACGGUCCAGACUCCUAAGGGAGGCAGCAGUAGGGAAUCUUCCGCAGUGGGCGAAAGCCUGACGGAGCAACGCCGCGUGAGUGAUGAAGGUCUUCGGAUCGUAAAACUCUGUUAUUAGGGAAGAACAAAUGUGUAAGUAACUAUGCACGUCCUGACGGUACCUAAUCAGAAAGCCACGGCUAACUACGUG
This 497-nucleotide ribosomal RNA is filed under the name uncultured bacterium. Its description in RNAcentral is "partial 16S ribosomal RNA". It matches the Rfam family "Bacterial small subunit ribosomal RNA", at positions 28 to 507 of the family's 1533-position model. The record is from RNAcentral.